CCUACGGGAGGCAGCAGUGAGGAAUAUUGGUCAAUGGACGAGAGUCUGAACCAGCCAAGUAGCGUGAAGGAUGACUGCCCUAUGGGUUGUAAACUUCUUUUAUAUGGGACUAAAAUGUUCCACGUGUGGGAUUUUGUAUGUACCAUAUGAAUAAGGAUCGGCUAACUCCGUGCCAGCAGCCGCGGUAAUACGGAGGAUCCGAGCGUUAUCCGGAUUUAUUGGGUUUAAAGGGAGCGUAGGUGGAUUGUUAAGUCAGUUGUGAAAGUGUGCGGCUCAACCGUAAAAUUGCAGUUGAAACUGGCAGUCUUGAUUACAGUAGAGGUGGGCGGAAUUCGUGGUGUAGCGGUGAAAUGCUUAGAUAUCACGAAGAACUCCGAUUGCGAAGGCAGUUCACUGGACUGCAACUGACACUGAGGCUCGAAAGUGUGGGUAUCAAACAGGAUUAGAUACCCGGGUAGUC
RNAcentral lists this ribosomal RNA (460 nucleotides) under uncultured bacterium. RNAcentral's name for it is "partial 16S ribosomal RNA". It matches the Rfam family "Bacterial small subunit ribosomal RNA", at positions 338 to 795 of the family's 1533-position model. The record is from RNAcentral.